AACGUAGGAGGCAAGCGUUAUCCGGAGUUACUGGGCGUAAAGCGUGCGCAGGCGGAUGGGUAAGUGGGUUGUGAAAGCGCCCGGCUAAACCGGGCGAGGACAAUUCAGACUGUCCAUCUAGAGGCGGAUAGAGGGGUGCGGAAUUCCGGGUGUAGCGGUGAAAUGUGUAGAGAUCCGGAGGAACACCAGUGGUGCAGACGGCGCCCUGGGUCCGACCUGACGCUGAGGCACGAAAGCGUGGGGAGCGAACGGG
This 253-nucleotide ribosomal RNA is filed under the name uncultured bacterium. Its description in RNAcentral is "partial 16S ribosomal RNA". It matches the Rfam family "Bacterial small subunit ribosomal RNA", at positions 524 to 776 of the family's 1533-position model. The record is from RNAcentral.